GCCAUGCAUGUCUAAGUACAUGCCGUAUUAAGGCGAAACCGCGAAUGGCUCAUUAAAUCAGUCAUGGUUCCUUGGAUCGUACCUUACUACUUGGAUAACUGUGGCAAUUCUAGAGCUAAUACAUGCAGCAGAGCUCCGACCUUCGGGGACGAGCGCUUUUAUUAGACCAAAACCAAUCGGACCUCGUGUCCGUCCUUUGUGGUGACUCUGUAUAACUUUGGGCUGAUCGCACGGGCCUGUCCCGGCGACGUAUCUUUCAAGUGUCUGCCUUAUCAACUUUCGAUGGUAGGUUACGCGCCUACCAUGGUCGUAACGGGUAACGGGGAAUCAGGGUUCGAUUCCGGAGAGGGAGCCUGAGAAACGGCUACCACAUCCAAGGAAGGCAGCAGGCGCGCAAAUUACCCACUCCCAGAACGGGGAGGUAGUGACGAAAAAUAACAAUACGGGACUCUUUUGAGACCCCGUAAUUGGAAUGAGUACACUCUAAAUCCUUUAACGAGGAUCCAUUGGAGGGUAAGUCUGGUGCCAGCAACCGCGGUAAUUCCAGCUCCAAUAGCGUAUAUUAAAGUUGUUGCGGUUAAAAAGCUCGUAGUUGGAUCUCAGUUCCAGACGGGUGGUCCGCCUACCGGUGGUUACUGCCUGUUCUGAACAGUCAGCCGGUUUCUCUUGAUGAUCUUCACCGGUUGUCUUGGGUGACCGGCAAGUUUACUUUGAAAAAAUUAGAGUGCUCAAAGCAGGCGUGACGCCUGAAUAAUGGUGCAUGGAAUAAUGGAAUAGGACCUCGGUUCUAUUUUGUUGGUUUUCGGAACACGAGGUAAUGAUUAAGAGGGACAGACGGGGGCAUUCGUAUUGCGACGCUAGAGGUGAAAUUCUUGGACCGUCGCAAGACGAACUACUGCGAAAGCAUUUGCCAAGAAUGUUUCCAUUAAUCAAGAACGAAAGUUAGAGGUUCGAAGGCGAUCAGAUACCGCCCUAGUUCUAACCAUAAACGAUGCCAGCCAGCGAUCCGGCUGUGU
This 1016-nucleotide ribosomal RNA is filed under the name Pireneitega spinivulva. Its description in RNAcentral is "SSU rRNA". It matches the Rfam family "Eukaryotic small subunit ribosomal RNA", at positions 48 to 1063 of the family's 1831-position model. Lineage: Eukaryota; Metazoa; Arthropoda; Arachnida; Araneae; Agelenidae. The record is from RNAcentral.